GGAGAGAUGGCAGAGUGGUCGAAUGCGCACGCUUGGAAAGCGUGUGAGCAUGCAAGUGCUUCCAGGGUUCGAAUCCCUGUCUCUCCGCCA
RNAcentral lists this transfer RNA (90 nucleotides) under Candidatus Omnitrophota bacterium. RNAcentral's name for it is "Candidatus Omnitrophica bacterium (sediment metagenome) tRNA-Ser". It matches the Rfam family "tRNA". From Rfam's summary of the family: Transfer RNA (tRNA) molecules are approximately 80 nucleotides in length. Their secondary structure includes four short double-helical elements and three loops (D, anti-codon, and T loops). Lineage: Bacteria; Pseudomonadati; Candidatus Omnitrophota. The record is from RNAcentral.